CCGGGCCAUGGCCUGCCUCGAGUCUUCCCGCGCCGUGGGUGCGAGACCGACCCGGUCGUUUCGGAGGGCGCGGGGCGGUGGCCCCGGGAACUCGUCCCUGUUGACUCGUUAACGGGCUUUCCCUCCCUUUGGGUGCCAAAGCGACCUGCGCACCAUCAGUGCAGUCGCGUUUUGAGUUUCCACCUGCAAGUCUUAGGUAAUCUUUCUCCAUGAUAAACGCCGGUUUCGAUGGUCCUCGCCGCAAACUAAUCGGGGGCCUUCUGUGACUCAGAUGCAACAAAGCCUGAGUUUUGAAGAUGUAUAAAGGUCACCGUGAUAAAUGUUUUCUGAAGAUUUGUCAAAGAGAAUGGCCAUGAAAAAACUGCUAGGACCAUAACUGCAUGUUUCAAGUAGAAGCAAAAGUUACAUCAUAUAGGUAGCUGUGGAUGAAUGUUCAGGUCCUUAACCAUGGUAUUUAAGAAUUCUUCAUUGCCUCAAGUUAAACAAGCAACCAAGUGUGACAUAUAACAUUUUGGGAAGGAAAAAUGAAGACUUGGUCAUGAAGACAUGAAUAGAAGCAAGUGAAGAAAAUAUUUGACAUUGAUAACCUUAUUUCACAAUAAUAUAUAGAAAAUACGUGUUUGGAUGCUUCAUAUCUUAUUUGCUUGGCAAUAAAGUUUUUUUAAAAAAUAUAUCUCAGGUCUUUAAACAGCUCCAUUCUCAUAGUCAUUAGUCAGACUUGUUUAUAAUGUACUUUGAGGAUAUAAUGUUUUUGUCAGUAACAAGCUCCUUUGUAGGUGGUGAUUCUCUGGAGAGGUCCUAACCACUCCAUACUACGUAACUAAAAAAUCUUUAUCUGGCCUCCCCGUAAAAACCUGCUGUCAUACCUGAAAGACAGCUCAUUGAAAUAUUCUAACCCUAUUAAUUUUGAAUAGCAGUGGAAUUGCCCAUUAGUAAAGAUUUUUCCUUUUGUAACCUAUGCACUAAGAACAGAAUUGUAAUAUGUAAAAAAAAAAAUUGUUUUUAAAAAUGAGCUUUGCCUUCUGAAAACUCAGUAGCUGUAUAGUCCCUGACACUAUUAGGUAUUCAGUAAAUACAUGUUGAAUGAAUGACUAGGAAAUAAAAUAGUAAAUUACUUGUCGAUCUUAUAGAGAGUGAGUGGGAGAACUGCCCAGCUUAGGAUUAAGCUCUGCAAAGUGUCAGUUUCAAAACAAUUGAAGCACGGUAAUAUCUUGUUAAUAAAAUUGCAGUUUUGUAAUUAUACUUUGCUUUUGAAUAAGAAUAUUAAAGAUUUAAAGAAGUGAAAACCAAAAACAA
Molecule: long non-coding RNA, 1296 nt
Organism: Loxodonta africana (African savanna elephant)
Lineage: Eukaryota; Metazoa; Chordata; Mammalia; Proboscidea; Elephantidae
Exons: 4
Source: RefSeq, a predicted model, not a curated record